AGGGCAUCUCUAAUCUCAUCCCAACAGGAAGUGGUCAGUCAGAGUGAGAUCAUCAAUGCCCUAGGUCGUGACCUGGCCCAGGCUCAUGCUCGGCUCUCUGAUAUGACAGGAGAACUAAGUGAACAGCAGAAGUUAGAAUUGGAAAGUCAUAAAGCUUUGGUGGUAGACCAGAAGAUUCAAUUGAGCAUGCUCACACAGAAGCUAACCAUGAUGUCACAACUAGUGCAACAGAAAGAUGACGAGACAAAGAAACUGGGAGAAAAACUGAGACAAACUGAAGAGGAUCUCGAAAGUAAAGCAGCAGCAAACAGAGAGAUGGAGAACACAAGCCUUGUUCCACAUCAAACCUCAAGAAACACUAAAGAUGUGGCACUCAUGACAGCUCCAAAUGAUGUCAUCAAUCAGGGGUCAAAACACAAAGGUCAUCGCCGCGAGGAAGCGAUUCUUCAACAGCAGGAAGGUUUGCGUGACAUGAGAGAGCGAAUCAGAGCUCUAGAACAGAAGUGGCCUAGCAAGCGUCUGUCCCAGCAGGGGGAGCCAGAGAAACAGGGUCAGAUGAAGACUCAGAGACUUCAGAGAUCUGCAGCUCGGAGAGGAU
This 598-nucleotide long non-coding RNA is filed under the name Sinocyclocheilus anshuiensis. Its description in RNAcentral is "lncRNA (ENSSANG00000000563.1)". Lineage: Eukaryota; Metazoa; Chordata; Actinopteri; Cypriniformes; Cyprinidae. The record is from RNAcentral.